AUCUGGGCGGCGGAAUUCAGGAUGGCUGGCGGGUCUCGCGCCCGUCCGGCCGUUUGAUAUUUCCGUCGCCGUUGCAGACGUCGCGACCUGUUCGUCGUCGGUCCUUGCUCGGAGGAAUCGCGUUCGAGUUCGUUGCGGGCGUGUUUCGGCGCGUCUCGCGACGAAGGCGUGGCUCUCUGGCUGACGACGGACAGUAAGCAACGGUGGCCGGCGCGGUGUCUCGCACUCCGCGUCGGUGCCGGUCAGCGACGAUUUCUUCGGGCCUCUUUCCGACCCGUCUUGAAACACGGACCAAGGAGUCUAACAUGCGCGCGAGUCGCGGGGUUUCGAGCGUGCUACGGUGCGCUCGUUACUUCCGAAACCCGUACGUUGAAGGCGUAAUGAAAGUGAACAGGGAAGAUGGCGCUCCGAGUCCACGAACCGUGAUCGCGUAUCGCGGCCGGGCGCCCGCACUCCCGGGGCGUCUCAAUGGCUCGUCGCGGAUGCGGACGGUCGUUCUUCGGGGCGGCCGUCGGUCUGCGACGGACCGA
This 530-nucleotide ribosomal RNA is filed under the name Epidiaspis doumtsopi. RNAcentral describes it as "eukaryotic LSU rRNA". Lineage: Eukaryota; Metazoa; Arthropoda; Insecta; Hemiptera; Diaspididae. The record is from RNAcentral.